GGCCCUGUAGUUUAAUGGAUAAAAUAAAAAUUUCCUAAAUUUUAGUUACAGGUUCGAUUCCUGUCGGGGCUA
Molecule: transfer RNA, 72 nt
Filed under: Bacteroidota bacterium
Lineage: Bacteria; Pseudomonadati; Bacteroidota
Description: Bacteroidetes bacterium (freshwater metagenome) tRNA-Arg
Rfam family: tRNA
About the family: Transfer RNA (tRNA) molecules are approximately 80 nucleotides in length. Their secondary structure includes four short double-helical elements and three loops (D, anti-codon, and T loops).
Source: RNAcentral